This 4143-nucleotide long non-coding RNA is filed under the name Malus domestica (apple). RNAcentral describes it as "long non-coding RNA (MDOM_LNC006033)". Lineage: Eukaryota; Viridiplantae; Streptophyta; Magnoliopsida; Rosales; Rosaceae. The record is from RNAcentral.
UUUUCGUGUGUUUGUAGGUCCAUAGGCCUUAUAAAGCAAUACGGUGCAUUUUGGUGCAUUUUGGAGCAGUUUUGGGCUUGGAAUGGAUAACACAUGCAUGGAGCAAGGUGGAUGGAUGAAAUUGAAGACUAAAGUGGCUAGGAAUGUGUUAAAGAGAAAGAAGAAUUAAUUUAAAAAGGACAAAGAGCUCAGCAACCAAAGAAGAAACAUGAGCCAAGAUUACCUUAUUUUGAUUUAACCUUUCUUAAUCCUAAUCCAACUAAGUUCCAGCCACAAGGAAGGUUCCCCAAAGAUAUUAGGACACUAAAUAAAGGAUUCUAGAAGCCUUAAUCUCAGCCACAAAGGGGUGUCACUCCACCUUUUCUCUUCCAUGCCGUGCCAUCAUCAUUGUCCCCUCCAUUGAUCCAGAUUUCAUGCACCAUUACACUCCCUUUCCUUUCCCAUGCCGGACAUCAUCAUCCAUGUUCCCUCCUUGCACUCAUUUGUUGCACCAUUCCACUUCCUUUCCUUUGUCUACCAUGUGCACAAUAUUCUUGUCCACUCCUUGCACUCAUUGAUGCACCACUCCUUCACCUUUCCACCCAUGUCGUGCAUCAUCAUCAUUGUCCCCUUCAUGCACUCAUUUGAUGCACCAUUUCAUUGAUUCAUUGCUGCACCAUUCCUUGUUCCCUCCAUCAUAUAAGGUUUCAUGCAUCAUUUCAUCAUUUUAACCUCCACUCCAUGCACUCAUUGCUACACCGUCCUUCACUUUAACCCCCCCAUGUCGUGCAUCAUCACUCCACUUUCACCCUUGUUUCAUUUCUGCAUCAUUUCACCUCCUGAUAGGAGCAUAUUUAUGCGCCUUAGUUAGCUUGUUCUUGUGCAUUUACGUUGUUUUUCCUUAGUUAAAGUAGUCUUUUAAGCUAGUUUUAUGUGUUUUCAGGUUUUAAGGGCAAAGUAUGCAAAAGGGUGCAUUUUGGAGCCUGUUGGAGCAAAUUAGAGCUUGGAAUGAAGAUCAUAUGCUUGGAGCCAUGAGGAUGGACGAAAUUGAAGAUUUGAAGAUGAUGUUUCCUACUUGAACAAGGUUUCCUAGUUGAAGUAGGAAAGUCCCUAAUUGAAGAUGGAAUCCUAGUUGAAUUGGGAUUCCUAGUUGAAAUAGGUUUCCUAGUGAAAUUGGGAUUCUUAGAAGAUGAAGUUCCCUACUCAAACAAGGUUUCCUACUUGAAGUAGGAAAGUUAAAUCCAAAUGGCAUCAAGUUUCAGCAACAAAGAAGUUUUCCAAGUCCAAGAAGGAAAAGGAAUCCAAGAUGAAGAAGGAUUGACAAAGACAAACUUUCCUAAUCCUAAUGUACAAAGAUUUCAGCUGCAAAGAUGAGUCCUAAACACUUUAGGACACCUUAUCCCUUCACAAUCAGCCUUAUCCCUUAGUGUCACACCUAUUCCCUUCUAGAAAUCUGAUUUCCUUGCCUUGCAAGGCUUUCUAGAAGCCUUAUCCACCUUAUCUCUUACCUGCCGCACCUAGGAGGCCUUUUCCUUUGCAAAAUCUGAUUGUUUAAACCUAUUUCCUUGUGGAUUUGGGUUAUCCAAGUCCAUAUCUAAUUACCCUAGGGUUUUAAGUGCCUAUAUAUACUCAUAUUAACCCCUAGAUCAGAUCACCACCUCUCAUACACAUCAAUUCACGCCAGAAAUCAUUCCUUGCUCUCUGCCGCACCCUUCCACCACCAUUCUCCCAAAUUUCUGCCUAAAAACAACCCUAGCCGCACCACCUAUCAACCCUAAAGCCUUCCAUACCAUUCCCCAUCCAUUCUACACCACAAAUAACCCCAAAAACCUGUCUAAAGUUCUCUGCCGCAGCAAGGAGGAAGGAGGAUUCUUGGAUGCACUUGCUGCCACGUUGGAGCAUUCUAGGUGUUUUCUUUCCUUUGAUUUUAAUUUCUAAACUUAUCUAUCGUUGCUUUGCGAGUAUGAGGAACUAAACCCCCUUGGCUAGGGGGGGAUUCAAAACCAUGAUUAUGCUUGCUAUAUGAUUUGAUUACUUUCAAUUGCGUUUCAUAAGUCGUGGAUUCAAUUUACUUAUCUAUAUGAAUUAAAACUAAUUUGUGUAUGUUGGUUGAGAGUGCACGCUUAAUUUUCAUGCAUGAGUUGAUGCUAGAAUGUAAGGGAAUUUCACCUAAUCGUUAUAAACUUAUAUUCAAAAGUAGUAAAGGUUGUUAAUCACAAUCAUGUUAAGUAAAUUCUUGGCAUAAGUUUCAUGCAGUCAUAGUAACAAGUGCUUCGUCAAUGCUUAUGGUUUUCAUAGAACUUAAUGAUUCUUGCUUGUAUCUCUAUUAUGCAAUCAUGUAGGGGACUUGUGGGGAAUGCUUUGGGUUGUCGUAUGCAAUCAUCCAAUUCAAUAACGUUAGGAAAAUCUGAAGGUUAAUUUAAGCGGACCUAAUUAACUUGGGGCGUUGAGAAUUCAUGGGUUAUUGAAAAGCAAUUGGAAAUCGUUUUGAAUGCAAGUAUAACAUGUGUGGAGAUGAACCCCUUAGCUAGCUUUCCAUCCAUUCAUUUAAGCCAAAUUCGUUUUAAAAUCUGUUCUAGUUUACAAAGUUUUGUUUUGUUUUUAAAUUCGUCCAAAAUCAAUCCCCCUUUUCUUUGUUGAGUCAUAUUAGUUAGAAGUCAAGUUAGUUUGUGUUUUUAAGUGUUUUGAGUCAAGUUAAAACCUAAUUUCGUCCAAGUUUGUGUCUAGUGUUCAAAACUGCCCAGAUUGUGUUUUUAAGGCAGUUUUGAGUGUUUUGGUGCUGUUUUGAGUCUUUUGGUUUGUUUUGGUAUUUCCAAGUUUAGUUUUGCAUUCUUUGAGUCUAGUUUAGUGUUUUAAACUUGUUUUUACGUAUUUGAGUCAGUUUUCAAGUGAUUUAGCAAUCCCUCCUAAUCCCCGGCCUAGAACGAUCCCUACUUACAUACUUACUACAAUUGAUAAAAAGAGGGUUACUCCAUGCACUCAUUGCUACACCGUCCUUCACUUUAACCCCCCCAUGUCGUGCAUCAUCACUCCACUUUCACCCUUGUUUCAUUUCUGCAUCAUUUCACCUCCCUUUCCUUUCUCUACCAUGUGCACAAUCAUUCAUGUCCCCUACAUGCACUCAUUGCUACACCAUCCCUCAACUUUCACCCUCCAUGCCGUGCAUCAUUAACCUCCCAUCCUUGCACUCAUUACUGCACACACCACUCCCUUUUCUUUCCCCAGUUGUGCACUCCUUCUAUAAAAGGAAGUGUGUGUAACAGCCAUAAGGGUUCAGUUUACAAAUAGAUCAUUCACCACCAUUUCAACACAACCUUCAUCCAUAAACAUCCAUUCAUCUUCUCAGCUAUUCUUCCAUACAAAUCACCACCCAAACCUUACACCAAACCUUGUGCCGUGAGUGAAGAAAGAAGGAAGAACUCUUGGAUGUUCAAGCUUAAUUGUUAAAGCAUUCGGGGUGUAGUUCAUUCUAUAUUUACAAUGUUUAAAUUCAUUUUCUUUCGUUUUGUUGUGAACAUGAGUGGCUAAACCCUUCUUGGCUAGGGGUAAUUUCAAAGCCAUGAUUAUGUGUGCAAUAUGAGUGACAUGAUGUCAUAGUUCUUGGAAGUAUGCCCACAAAGCCACUCAUUUGAUGUAAUAGCUUUUGGAAUACUUAUUGUAUUAAACUUUUAUAUGUUUAAUAAAGGGCAAAGCUUAUUGUUAAUCACUAUUUAUUGUAUCAUGUGUUUAAGCAAUAAGGGAAUCCAAGGAAUGUAUUUGAUCUAAGAGAUAAGUGAUUUAAGUAAGUUAGAUUAACGAGACCAUUCUCUUAUGUUCAUUCCUAAAACGUUCCUAGCCAUAGGAUUGCCAAUUGGGCAUUGACAAUCCGCUAAGGUUAGUAUGUGUUAUGUUGACUCAAUCGUGAGUAUGACAAGUCUCAAGUCAUUUAGUGUUGGACACUAAGAUAAACACAUAGGUGCUCGAAAGAGUAAUCGAGUACACUGAACAACGAUCAAAAGAGAGUUCAAACAUACAUGUCAUGUAAGAACUCGAUAGUUGCAUUAUGCAAAGUAGUCCUUUGACCUGAGGCAUCAUAGAUGUCUAAUGGUUAGGUCCUUGAUCUUUGAUCAUGUUAAAUGGCAUUCCAUUGGAAUGUCCACGACAUUGUUGGGAUCAAGCUAUCUA